AAACUCAAAGGAAUUGACGGGGGCCCGCACAAGCAGUGGAGCGUGAGGUUUAAUUCGAAGCAACGCGAAGAACCUUACCAGGCCUUGACACCCAAUGAACUUUCCAGAGAUGGAUUGGUGCCUUCGGGAACAUUGAGACAGGUGCUGCAUGGCUGUCGUCAGCUCGUGUCGUGAGAUGUUGGGUUAAGUCCCGUAACGAGCGCAACCCUUGUCCUUAGUUACCAGCACGUAAUGGUGGGCACUCUAAGGAGACUGCCGGUGACAAACCGGAGGAAGGUGGGGAU
Molecule: ribosomal RNA, 284 nt
Filed under: Pseudomonas sp. RE24
Lineage: Bacteria; Pseudomonadati; Pseudomonadota; Gammaproteobacteria; Pseudomonadales; Pseudomonadaceae
Description: partial 16S ribosomal RNA
Rfam family: Bacterial small subunit ribosomal RNA
Source: RNAcentral